RNAcentral lists this long non-coding RNA (1581 nucleotides) under Homo sapiens (human). Its description in RNAcentral is "HSALNT0310935". Lineage: Eukaryota; Metazoa; Chordata; Mammalia; Primates; Hominidae. The record is from RNAcentral.
ACAACCACGAUGUUGGAGAGGGAAGCAGCUACCUCAAAAGAAGGGAAUGAACGGUUGAGACCAGACAAUAUAAUAAGUGGCCACUCUCUGGUAGAGAAAGACUUUGGAGGUGGGUAGAAAUAUUUUAACUCUAUGCUGCUGCUUCCUGAGUGUGACAUUGAACUUGAGUCACUGUAGUGAGAUAUGAGGCAAGACAUUUAAAUUCCUGUCAAUGCUCAAUAACUAAUUGCUAACUAAAAUAAUGAUAAAGUACUAGUUAAAUGCAAGGUUCUAGUAUUGUUGAUAUAGUUUUGGUCUUUAAUUUAAAAUUUUUCUUAUCACGGUCUAGAUGGGAUACAAUUUCAAAACUGUUUUUUUUCCCUACACUGUGGCCACUUUCCCCAAGCAGUAUGUUCAAAUAGAUAGUAAGCUCCUGGAAAGCAUGGACAAUAUUUUCUGCAUCUUUUCUCUUCCCACAGCACAAAGGGCUGGGCUUAGGACUGUGUUAACAAUACUUGCUUAAAAAGCACUUGCUAAGUUGCAUCGUUGAAAAGAUUUACAGACUAGUCACAUUGGGAGUACAUACCCAAAUUUAGCAUUGCUUCUGCUGGUGUUCUAUGUCCUGGGCACAUAAGGAUGUCUGAGAAUAGGUAUUCAGAGUGUUAAUAUUCACUUUUACAGAAAAUGAGCAAAUGGGUGAUUUUUAUCAAUUUCUUUAACCUAAACUUGCAGAGUCAUGUGAAAUAGUUUUCAUGUUCAAUAACAUUGUUGCCCUAAAAUUGAGGAAUAUUAUGAAUGUUAAGCUAAGCCCUGACAACCCACCUUGUGUUAUGAGUUUUCAUUAUUUAACUUUACUCUUCUCAUGGUCAUUUUAAUACAUUUCCACAUAUUAAUUAUAUUCAUGCUGAUGUCCUGAAAUAACCUCAGCCAAGUUCAUUAUAUAUUUUGAUGGAAAAGCACUUAAAUCUAGAUGACAAUUUAUGUUUUACAAAUUGGAUUUGGAAUAACCAUUGAAGAGCUUUCUCUAAAUAGACUCUGAUUUUGAAAUUCUAAUUAAAUGUUAUAUUUUGUUCUACAAAAAAUAAGCACCUUCAUUAUUUUGGAUGAAAUUACUGGGUAUCUCACCCAAUUAUUCAUAGCUUUGAAACAUGAGUUACUGCUUCUUGUCAUUUUGUCAGUGGGUUGAAAACCCUCUUCCAGGAAUGCCGUGAAUUCUUGAUGAAUACUGAAGAGACAGGAGAUCUGGGAUACCAGGGUUGAUCUGCACUGUGUGUGUAGGAAGUUCAACUGCUGUAGGUGCUGGAACAUUAAUUUGGAUGCCAACAUUUCUUUUGCAUAAAAAUGGGAUGUAUGAAUCUCCUACUUUGCUUCGGUUGGCUUGAGUCCUUUGUCUUCUGAACACUUUCAAUAAAAACUCUGAAGAGCUUCUCAUCACUGUAGAAUAUAGUACAACUGCGUAAAGUUGCCCUCCAGGACCUGCAGAUUCCAACCUCUGCCUGACUCCAAAGUCGUCAUCUUGCGUCAUUCUCCCUUCACCCACAUUGUGCUCCAGACACAUUUUCCUUCAGUUUCUCUAAUAAAUACAACACGCUUCUCACUGCU